GUGCGUACCUUGCAAGGUCCUCAUGCCCGUCUGACAGUUUUCACAUGACCUCGACCUCAUUUCAUGGAUCAGUGAACAAGGUUAAGUUUUGGUGGUCGUCCAUAUCUCAAAUACUAAAAGCAAUAUGUCUAGUAUAUUCGGUGUAUGGAAGGACUGCAAGGUGUACAUGUUUAACUGGCAGGUGUCAUCUAACCUUAAUCUCCUUUUCAUAGUUCAGUGGUCAAAGUCUGGCGUAAAUAUAAAAUUUUAUUCCUGGUAUCUAUGAUGAGUUUAUUUAAGUUUAUGAGUUUUUUUUUCUUUUUCUAAAACUAUAUGCAAUAGGUCAACUCCAUGUAUAUUGGGUCUAUGAAAAUAUCUUAAGAUGUACAUGUCAGUCUUGCAGGUUUUAUUUGACUUUGAUCUCAUUUUCAUGGUUCAUUAGUUAUAGUUAAGUUUUUGUACUUUGGUUUGUUUUUCUUAUACUGUAUUCCAUAGGUCUACUACAUUUGAUGUAUGGAAUGAUUGUAAGGUGUACAUGUCUAGCUGACAGGUGUCAUCUGACCUAGACCUCAUUUUCAUAGUUCAGUGGUCAAAGUUAAGUUUUUGAGUCUAUAUCUUUUUUUCUAAUACCAUAAACAAUAGGUCAACUAUAUUUGUUGAUGGAAGAAUACUUAGCUGGUCAUGUCUGCCUUGCAUUGUUCAUCUGACCUUGACCCGAGACAUUUUCACGGUCCAUUGGUCAAUGUUUAGUUUUCUUGGUUAAGUCUGCUUUUUAGAAACUAUAAGCAAUAGGUCAACUAUAUUUAGUGUAUUUAAUGAUUGUAAGGUGAACAUGUAUUUCUUGUUUGUUUAAUAUGACCUUGACCUCAUUUUCGUGGAUCAUGUUAAGUUUAUGUGAUAGGGUAGUCAAGCUUUAUAUUUAGGACUUUUAACACAAUAUCAAUGAUUACACAGCUACUUUUCCAUAGGUACUAUUUCUGUACUAAAAAUCUG
Molecule: long non-coding RNA, 972 nt
Filed under: Mytilus galloprovincialis (Mediterranean mussel)
Lineage: Eukaryota; Metazoa; Mollusca; Bivalvia; Mytilida; Mytilidae
Source: RNAcentral